UUCAGCAGUCGCCUCCUAUUCUCUUCUCUCUCUUUCAAACCCAAAGACAAAAUCAAAAGAACAAUUGCAACUAUCUUCUCCCUCUUUUCACUCAAAACCAACGGUAAACACAAGAGACAGUUAUCUAUCUUCUACUCCACUCUUUUCGUUUAGAUUGUUGUGUGUGAAACGGGUGAAGAUGUCGGUAACGGAGGCUGUUUAGCGGCGGCGACAAGCAGUGGCGGAGAACGGCGGCAGUGGUGCUGGUUCGCGGUGGUUAUGAUGAACCGACGUUGAAAGUGAUGGAGGCCGGAGGACCCAUCGGAGAAGAUGAAGGAGUUGCAGGUUACACGGCGGUGGUCGGCACAGGCGCUGGUCAGCACAGAUGAUGAAUGUAGAUCUCGAAGUUGAACGUGGUGUAGACGGAGAAGACGGAGAUGACGUUUCUAUCUGGUUUGCACGGUGGUGGAUGACGUCACGCCGGAGAUGGUGGUGAUCAGGAGAACGGAGACGAUGACCGGUGGUUUAUGCUGACCGAUGAACAGAGACGGUGACCGGUGGUUUCUACAUCCUUUUCAAAACUGAAGCUUCUACUUUGUUAGGGUAUGCCGGAGCAACGGAGUCGUCGGAGCGUCAAACGACGCCAAAUUGAAUUUUACGGAUACUGAAGGCAUUU
RNAcentral lists this long non-coding RNA (655 nucleotides) under Helianthus annuus (common sunflower). RNAcentral describes it as "hypothetical non coding rna". Lineage: Eukaryota; Viridiplantae; Streptophyta; Magnoliopsida; Asterales; Asteraceae. The record is from RNAcentral.